UGCCAGCAGCCGCGGUAAGACGGAGGGCGCAAGCGUUGUUCGGAAUUACUGGGCGUAAAGGGCGGGCAGGCGGUCCGUUAAGUCGUUUGUGAAAAUCCGGGGCUCAACCCCGCGAAAUGCAGACGAUACUGGCGGACUAGAGACCGGUAGAGGCUAGCGGAAUUCCUGGUGUAGCGGUGGAAUGCGUAGAUAUCAGGAAGAACACCUGUGGCGAAGGCGGCUAGCUGGGCCGGGUCUGACGCUGAACCGCGAAAGCGUGGGGAGCAAACAGGAUUAGAUA
This 280-nucleotide ribosomal RNA is filed under the name uncultured bacterium. Its description in RNAcentral is "partial 16S ribosomal RNA". It matches the Rfam family "Bacterial small subunit ribosomal RNA", at positions 506 to 784 of the family's 1533-position model. The record is from RNAcentral.